This 1002-nucleotide long non-coding RNA is filed under the name Equus asinus (donkey). RNAcentral describes it as "lncRNA (ENSEASG00005036231.1)". The record is from RNAcentral. Lineage: Eukaryota; Metazoa; Chordata; Mammalia; Perissodactyla; Equidae.
GUGCUAUUAUGCUUAAGGAAGCACACAAUGUACUUCACAACACAGGACAAGCUGGACAAGUGUCAAAAUCUCCAAGAAAAUAAACUGUGAAAACUUAUAUGUAUUUAACUAUGAAUUAAGUACAUGAAAACUGACCAGUUUUUGCUCUUUUUCUUCCAGUUCACCUCCAUGUGGCAUCUCAGGAAGAGGAAGAUAUUUUCCCAAGAGAAGGCAAAAGUUGGAUUGUCCUGCAAGUACAGAGAGAGUCAUUGUUGACAAGGUGUAACAGCAACGCAAACAUCUUGUUGACCAGCCCAGCUUGGCUUUGACGGCUUCACUGAGAAAGGACAAAGUGUGAUCAAGAUACCAAUAUUAAGUGAUAUUUCUAGGAAAGGAAUUGCUGAAUUUUUAAGGCUUAUGAUAGAUAUUGCCAAAUUGUUCUCUAGAGGGUUUAUGUCUCAAGAUACUCACAAAACCACCUACCCUUUGAUUUGAAGUGUCUUGGAAAUUCUACCCUGUGAGAGAAGCUUUCUCAGAAAGAUACAACCAAAAGGACAUUCAUACACCAACAGAGGACAUAUAUGCAUCACAACAGAUGUCUGAGAGACCCACGCAGCCACACGCUUGAAGAUGGUGGUGGAGCUGGAUCCUCUGGAGGAAGUGGAAGUUGAUCUCCAGAAGCUCCAUGGAGAGAGAUGGGCCAUGGUGGUGGCAAGUGCACAGGUGAAAAGGGCACCCCAUCCCCGCCUGGUACUCGAGCCCCAGAAUCGUCCAGAGCACAGUGCAGUGAGCAUUGUAGUAGCAGCAGGGAAAGUUUGCAGCCCCAGGAUCGCCCAGUUCACAGUGUGGAGAAUGUGGCAGCAGUGAAGGGGAAAGUGCACAGGAGAGAGAGGUGCCCCAUCCACGCCCAGCACUCCAGCCUUAGGAUCAGCCGGAGUAUGGCCCAGAGAGCUUGGCAGUGGGAGCAGGGAAAGUGCUCAAACCCAGAAUCAUCUGGAGCAUGGUGCAGAGAGCGUGGCAGAG